RNAcentral lists this transfer RNA (90 nucleotides) under Beijerinckiaceae bacterium. RNAcentral describes it as "tRNA-Ser". It matches the Rfam family "tRNA". Rfam says of the family: Transfer RNA (tRNA) molecules are approximately 80 nucleotides in length. Their secondary structure includes four short double-helical elements and three loops (D, anti-codon, and T loops). Further hydrogen bonds mediate the characteristic L-shaped molecular structure. tRNAs have two regions of fundamental functional importance: the anti-codon, which is responsible for specific mRNA codon recognition, and the 3' end, to which the tRNAs corresponding amino acid is attached (by aminoacyl-tRNA synthetases). tRNAs cope with the degeneracy of the genetic code in two manners: having more than one tRNA (with a specific anti-codon) for a particular amino acid; and 'wobble' base-pairing, i.e. permitting non-standard base-pairing at the 3rd anti-codon position. RNAcentral also lists the same sequence under 2 other names. The record is from RNAcentral. Lineage: Bacteria; Pseudomonadati; Pseudomonadota; Alphaproteobacteria; Hyphomicrobiales; Beijerinckiaceae.
GGAAGGGUGGCCGAGUGGUUUAAGGCAGCGGUCUUGAAAACCGCCGUGGGUGAAAGCCUACCGUGGGUUCGAAUCCCACCCCUUCCGCCA